GCGCCAUGACGGGAACUCUGACUCUAAUGCCUCUUGAAGACAAUGUUCCACCUCUGAGUGACUCUUACCAGCUCCAGCUUACCCACCUUAUUCUCACCAUGAGCAUUUUGAGGGAACAAAAGGGCAACAGGGGCAAGUAACUUUAUCAGUAUUGUGUAUUGGAGGAGGUACAGACCGAUAAAUGGAGAUUCAAGACAAGAUGUAAACUCAGAUGGGCAUGUAACACAUGGUCAAGGUAGCAUUUCAGAAUAGCUGGGAAAAGAGUUCACUAGACAGGGCUGGGAGGUGAUGGGAGGGAGAAACCUGCUUCUUUACCUAAUUCCCUAUAUCAUGUUGAAUUCCAGUUGGAGCCAAGAUUUAAGCAUAAUAAAAUGAAAUCAUAGAGGUACUUAUUAAAAGGAGUCAGCAUUUUAACAGUUCUGGAAUGGGAAAAACACUGUGCAAAAUUCUGAAGCUGUCAAAUAAAAAUGGAACAAAGUCUCUUUGGUUUAAAGACACACACACACUCAAAAGACUCAAAAUGCCAAAUUUGGAAGGCUAUUUGCAACAUUUUCAAAAUGUUUUUGUUUUUAUUUUUUGAAACUUUUUUUUUUUAAUCUGCAACAUUUUUGACACACAAAGUACUAACAUAUUCCAUGAGUACACAUGUUUUACAAAGGAAGGUAGGGAAAGACAGAAAUUAAAACAAGAGGUGAUAAACAUAGGGAAAAAUGCCUUACGUCCAUCAUCAAAUGUGAAUCAUUUCUCCCCCACUAGACUAAAAACAGUGAGAAUUCCGGAAGGGAGAAGUUCAAGGCCACCAGGACCAGGCACCGUCUGCAGGGUCGCUGUGCCAUCUUCUGCCCUUGACCCUUCUCCAUGUGCUCACAGGAUGGCUGCGGCAGGAGCCAGCGUCAUGACCAGGAUCCGGCAGAAAGAAGUGGGGCAGGAGGCGGCUGGUCCAGCAGGCGAUGCGCUUUGCAAGGGGCAGUACUGGGCUCUGCAGCAGAGGAGAGUCCUGACCUGGACUUCUGGGAAGGAGCGACCCGUGAGGUAAGACCUGAAGGAACAAGCAUCAGCCUGGAGGAUGCUGGGAAGCGGCUUCCAGAGAGAAAUGUGCUGGAAGGUCUGCAGGUGAUGAGCAGAGCGAAAGGAGCCGAAAGACAGCUCACGUGUGCAAGACAGGGCGUGAUGUGGAAGCAGGGAGGGACCAGGUCAUCCAGGGCCCCUAAAAGGAACUCAGACUGGCCCCUAAGAACAAGGGUCCAAGAGCUAUGAAGAGUGCUAAUCUCUGGGAGGCCCUGAGCAGUCUGUAGUUUAUCCCUUUCCUGGAAGCCCAGAGCUGAACCCUAACAAGAUAAGUCAUCUGAGGAUUCAGCAAACUAGGGCGACACAGUCAAGGUCAUGAAGGAGUAAGUUCUGUCCAGUUUCCUUGUGAACCAAGGAGGUUUCCAAGAGGCGCAGUGAGCAGAGUGAGCAAUAAAGCUAGGACGGAGUGCUGGGGGCUUGAUCUC
This 1493-nucleotide long non-coding RNA is filed under the name Sus scrofa (pig). RNAcentral describes it as "lncRNA (ENSSSCG00070017038.1)". The record is from RNAcentral. Lineage: Eukaryota; Metazoa; Chordata; Mammalia; Artiodactyla; Suidae.